UGGAGGCGGCUUUCAGCAGCUGCCAAGGUCCCUGAGGGCGCUCGCGGCAGGGGAGGAUCAAGGAAAGGCUUGUUUAUUAUAGGGUCGCGUUGCUGGGGGGAGGGGACAGCCCUUGGCUGCCCUGGGACGAAGAGUUAGGGGACCCGGAGCGGCGAUGAACAAGGGGAGACAGAGUAGAACACCUGGACCCUGAUGGAAGAAAAACCAAACUUACAUCAGACACUUUGGCCCGGAGGGCAGGAACCAAACCAGAUCAGACUGGCGAGUAUCAGAUCGCUGCAGGGCAGAUCUGCCGCUUGCGAGGAGACAUCGGAUGGGGCGGUGAGAUGAAAUGCUUCUGCAGGAGAAGGUGACAUCAUCGUGUGGUGUCUUUCACGGAGUGGGAGAGAGUUGAGGGCCUGUGUGAGUGAAUCUUCCCGCUGCCAGGAAGAAAGGAGAAAGAAAUCAAUUGACCAGCAGGGCACCCAUUCCUCCUACGAGGCUGAGCCCAUUGGAGAUAGACUAUGGACGCUUUUUUCUUCACCAUUUUGUUUUUUUGUCUGUGCUGGGGAUGAAUCCGGUGCUUCAGGCAUGCUAGGCACAGCCCUGGCUCUAGGCUGCAUCUCCAGCCUCCCCUCCCCACUCUUCCCUCUCCUCUUUUUACAUUUUUUUUUUUUUUGUAGGAAAAAAAAAUACUUCAGAAAAAUAUGACGCAUUGGCCCAGGAAAAACAGUUUUCCUUUGAAGUGAAUAUUAAUAAACAAAAGAAUCCCUGGCCAGUUUGGGAAGGGGUUUAUUAGAAUUCAAUCAUUCAUCCAACAGAAAACCAUCAAGGGCUAUGUAAGCCUCCCCCCCCCCCCCCCCCCCCCCGCCUUUGGUGAUUAUUU
Molecule: long non-coding RNA, 865 nt
Organism: Onychomys torridus (southern grasshopper mouse)
Lineage: Eukaryota; Metazoa; Chordata; Mammalia; Rodentia; Cricetidae
Exons: 3
Source: RefSeq, a predicted model, not a curated record